UGUACUGAUAUAUUUUUUUGUUAAGUUAAUGUACUGAUGUUAUGUAGCGCCAUAUAAAACAUGCUACAAUUGAUUACUUGCACUUAAAAUACUUAACUUAUGAAAAACGAACAAACAUAAGAAUUUAGAAAAUUGUGCAUGCAAAUAAUACUCUACAUUACAUUACAUAGUAACAUAUAUACACGCGUGUAUUACAAAUAAGCCUCUACAUCGACUUAGUAAUUAGUUGAUGGAGAGGUUGUCACAUGGGCCCAUGGAAGUGUCGUCCCCCCCUCCCUCUCACACAUCGCCAUUAUUGCAGUAGCAAUCCACUCCCGCUAAACGCCAUUGCGCUUAUAAGUCUAAAUAAUUAAUGUGGUUUUCGUUAGAACCCAAGGAGCAUACAAUAACAUUAGCUCAAGAUAAUAAUCGCCGAUAGUUGACAAAACAAGGAAUCAACGCUAGUUGACCAAAACAAUCAACGAUAACGCUGCUUCAUUCAUUACCCAGAGCAUUCGUUGAUAUUUACUCCCUCUGUUCCUUAUAGAUUCAAUUUUUAGAAAAAAGAUUUGUUUCAAAUAGAUACAUUUUUUACAUUUCCAAAAUAUUAAUUAAUGAAAAAUUGUACUUUUCAAAAAAUACAAUUGUGUUUAAUAAAAUUUCAUUAGUUAAAAGUUAUUGGGAAUAAUUAAUUAAAAAAAACAAUGUAUUGGAAAAUAUAAUUUUAAAUGUUUUCUUAAUAAGUGUGAAAAAACUACAAUAUGGAUCUUUUAGGAACGGAGAGAGUAUAAGUUAUAAAUUAUAACCGCAUAUAUGCGUUUAACUAAUCACGUGCCUGCUGCUUCAUACACACUUGUGCAUUUUGGUCUUCCUAGUCAUUAUUAUAAAUCUCAUCUCUUUCUUAAAUUCCUCAUUCGUUCUCUCUCUCUCUGGAAACACAAAUAAGCAAAUAUAUUUACAUAAAGAUUAGAGUCUAGAGAAAGGGUGUAUUGUGUAAUGGAGAUAAAAACGAAGAGGUACUGGCGGAGGUGGAGAGGAUACGAGAAGCUUGAUGGGUCAUCAACGCCGGGUCGAAGGAGUGGAAAACAGGUCAAAAUGG
This 1078-nucleotide long non-coding RNA is filed under the name Brassica rapa (field mustard). RNAcentral describes it as "long non-coding RNA (BRAP_LNC005382)". Lineage: Eukaryota; Viridiplantae; Streptophyta; Magnoliopsida; Brassicales; Brassicaceae. The record is from RNAcentral.